RNAcentral lists this ribosomal RNA (528 nucleotides) under uncultured bacterium. Its description in RNAcentral is "bacterial SSU rRNA". It matches the Rfam family "Bacterial small subunit ribosomal RNA", at positions 777 to 1304 of the family's 1533-position model. The record is from RNAcentral.
AAUAGAUACCCUGGUAGUCCUGGCCCUAAACGAUGAAUGCUUGGUGUGGCGGGUAUCGAUCCCUGCCGUGCCGAAGUUAACGCGAUAAGCAUUCCGCCUGGGGAGUACGGCCGCAAGGCUGAAACUCAAAGGAAUUGACGGGGGCCCGCACAAGCGGCGGAGCAUGCGGUUUAAUUCGAUGCAACGCGAAGAACCUUACCAAGGCUUGACAUAUAGGGAAAUCCGGCAGAGAUGUCGGGUCCGCAAGGGUCCUAUACAGGUGGUGCAUGGCUGUCGUCAGCUCGUGUCGUGAGAUGUUGGGUUAAGUCCCGCAACGAGCGCAACCCUCGUUCUAUGUUGCCAGCGGAUAAUGCCGGGGACUCAUAGGAGACUGGCCGGGGUCAACUCGGAGGAAGGUGGGGACGACGUCAAGUCAUCAUGCCCCUUUAUGUCUUGGGCUACACGCAUGCUACAAUGGCCGGUACGAAAGGGCUGCGAUACCGUAAGGUGGAGCGAAUCCAUAAAGCCGGUCUCAGUUCGGAUCGGGGU